Pipra filicauda (Wire-tailed manakin) is the source of this 890-nucleotide long non-coding RNA. RefSeq lists it as uncharacterized. The transcript is spliced from 4 exons. Lineage: Eukaryota; Metazoa; Chordata; Aves; Passeriformes; Pipridae. The record is from RefSeq and is a predicted model, not a curated record.
CAGAACCAGACCCUCCUCUCUCCCCAGCCUCCCUGAUGGGCCAUCAGCGAGGAAUGCAGUCUGGCGAGCUAAUUCCUUUCUGUGCUGAUGCUGGUGUGACAGUUCCAAAUAAAUGUACUGUAAACAAAAGAAAGUGGUUUCCUAACAACAGGAUCCAUGUGAAUUCUUUCUGAAGAUCUUCAUACCCCAGUCAAACUUCCUUCAACAUGGCAAGCUGACUGUGAGAGGGAAAUCAAAAUUAAAGAGAUUCAAACACCACUGAAAAAGGAAGAUUGAACGGAUUAAAUGAAAUGCAGCAGGAAGGUCAAGCGUUUAUAUUCACAUCACUUCAAGUGUUGCAAUGUAAGAGACAGCAAUGAGAAACAUUUGGGAAAAAUAAAAAAGGAAUCUCACCCAGCUUGUGAAAUAGGGUACAAGGAUUUCCAUGUGACAAGAUAAGAAAAACCUGCCUUAGUUAACAAAGACAGAAGUACUGAUGCAGAAAAGACUAAAUCACCAGUUUUAUCACGUCACCAGAAGCAGGAAGGAAGUCAUAAGAAAGAAGAUGUGAAUCCAAAACACCCAUAAGUAUCCCAAGGUAGUGGAAAAAGAAUUUAGGGAAUCUGAAAGAGAAAUAAAUUGUCUGUCUUUUCUUUCUUCUUAUUUUUCUUGAAUUGUCAGUAGUAUGUUUGCCAACGGAAGAAAAAAAGGGCAAAAAUGAAAUCAGGUUUCAUAUUUUCUCACCAAAAUCCUCUGUUUUCAUCCUAGAUAUAUUUACAGUUAUGCUGUCCUACAUGAUCUUCAUUGCUCUGUUUUGCAAUUCAAAACAAACUGCUGAAAAUAGCAAAAGACUGAUUUUUGCAAGUAAGAAAACCAGUUAUUGUUUUAAUUUUAGUGGGUUUUUACCCAUG